UCUGGUAUGAAAGGUUUGACGAGGGAACAACUGUCUCAGUUUAAUUUUUUUUGAAAUUUAUUUUUAAGUUAGAAAGCUUAAAUAUUUUUAAAAGACGAGAAGACCCUAUAGAGUUUUAUAAAUUAUAUUAGUUGAUGCUUUUUAGUAUAUUUUGGGUUGAUUAAUUUACUUUAUUUUGUUGGGGUGAUAGAAAAAUUAGAUUAACUUUUUUUAUUUGAAACAAUUAUAUUUGAUUGAAUGAUCCGCUUAGGCGAUUAAAAGAUUAAAUUACCUUAGGGAUAACAGCGA
This 288-nucleotide ribosomal RNA is filed under the name Saprinus planiusculus. RNAcentral's name for it is "partial 16S ribosomal RNA". Lineage: Eukaryota; Metazoa; Arthropoda; Insecta; Coleoptera; Histeridae. The record is from RNAcentral.